GGUGGCUCAGUGGUAGAGCGCUUGCCUAGCAGGCAUGAGGCCCUGGGUUCGAUUCCUCAGCACCA
RNAcentral lists this transfer RNA (65 nucleotides) under Dipodomys ordii (Ord's kangaroo rat). It matches the Rfam family "tRNA". From Rfam's summary of the family: Transfer RNA (tRNA) molecules are approximately 80 nucleotides in length. Their secondary structure includes four short double-helical elements and three loops (D, anti-codon, and T loops). Further hydrogen bonds mediate the characteristic L-shaped molecular structure. tRNAs have two regions of fundamental functional importance: the anti-codon, which is responsible for specific mRNA codon recognition, and the 3' end, to which the tRNAs corresponding amino acid is attached (by aminoacyl-tRNA synthetases). tRNAs cope with the degeneracy of the genetic code in two manners: having more than one tRNA (with a specific anti-codon) for a particular amino acid; and 'wobble' base-pairing, i.e. permitting non-standard base-pairing at the 3rd anti-codon position. The record is from Rfam by way of RNAcentral. Lineage: Eukaryota; Metazoa; Chordata; Mammalia; Rodentia; Heteromyidae.